Molecule: ribosomal RNA, 493 nt
Filed under: uncultured bacterium
Lineage: Bacteria
Description: partial 16S ribosomal RNA
Rfam family: Bacterial small subunit ribosomal RNA
Source: RNAcentral
AGUGAACGCUGGCGGUAGGCCUAACACAUGCAAGUCGAACGGCAGCACAGUAAGAGCUUGCUCUUACGGGUGGCGAGUGGCGGACGGGUGAGGAAUACAUCGGAAUCUACUUUUUCGUGGGGGAUAACGUAGGGAAACUUACGCUAAUACCGCAUACGACCUACGGGUGAAAGCAGGGGAUCUUCGGACCUUGCGCGAUUGAAUGAGCCGAUGUCGGAUUAGCUAGUUGGCGGGGUAAAGGCCCACCAAGGCGACGAUCCGUAGCUGGUCUGAGAGGAUGAUCAGCCACACUGGAACUGAGACACGGUCCAGACUCCUACGGGAGGCAGCAGUGGGGAAUAUUGGACAAGGGGCGCAAGCCUGAUCCAGCCAUACCGCGGGGGGGAAGAAGGCCUUCGGGUUGUAAAGACCGCUUUGUUGGGAAAGAAAAGCAGCAGGUUAAUACCCCGCUGUUCUGACGGUACCCAAAGAAUAAGCACCGGCUAACUUCGUG